Molecule: unclassified non-coding RNA, 318 nt
Filed under: Hevea brasiliensis (rubber tree)
Lineage: Eukaryota; Viridiplantae; Streptophyta; Magnoliopsida; Malpighiales; Euphorbiaceae
Source: RNAcentral
GUCUGUGUGAUAGCUUUUAUAUUUUUUUGCCCGGUGAGAUCCUAUCUUUUUAUCUGUAUUACUAAUAAUUUUCUGUGAGACUUGGAGAACUUUUUGUUCAUUGGUAUAUCUUUAAAAUUAUUCUCUACAGUUGUUGCAGUAGUAAUUGAGGGUUAUUUGAUGGCUGACCUCACCUAUUGCAUGGAACGGUAUCAGAAAAUUUUCUGAGUUAAGUUGUUGUUAGAAGGAAACAAUAUGCUCCACAAUUUGUGAAUGUCAAUUUUGUGUUGUUCAUAUAUAUUCUGAGGAUUUUGUGUAAAUGAGGUAAUACUGUGCUUA